Molecule: ribosomal RNA, 498 nt
Filed under: uncultured bacterium
Lineage: Bacteria
Description: partial 16S ribosomal RNA
Rfam family: Bacterial small subunit ribosomal RNA
Source: RNAcentral
AUUGAACGCUGGCGGCAUGCUUUACACAUGCAAGUCGAACGGUAACAGGCCGCAAGGUGCUGACGAGUGGCGAACGGGUGAGUAAUGCAUCGGAACGUGCCCAGUCGUGGGGGAUAACGCAGCGAAAGCUGUGCUAAUACCGCAUACGAUCUAUGGAUGAAAGCGGGGGACCGUAAGGCCUCGCGCGAUUGGAGCGGCCGAUGUCAGAUUAGGUAGUUGGUUGGGUAAAGGCUCACCAAGCCAACGAUCUGUAGCUGGUCUGAGAGGACGACCAGCCAGACUGGGACUGAGACACGGCCCAGACUCCUACGGGAGGCAGCAGUGGGGAAUUUUGGACAAUGGGCGCAAGCCUGAUCCAGCAAUGCCGCGUGCAGGAAGAAGGCCUUCGGGUUGUAAACUGCUUUUGUACGGAACGAAAAGGUUUGGGUUAAUACCCUGGGCCGAUGACGGUACCGUAAGAAUAAGCACCGGCUAACUACGUGCCAGCAGCCGCGGUAA